CCCUACGGGAGGCAGCAGUUAGGAAUAUUCGUCAAUGGGGGAAACCCUGAACGAGCAAUGCCGCGUGAACGAUGACGGUCCUCUGGAUUGUAAAGUUCUGUUGUUUGGGAAGAACGGCUCUAAUAGGAAAUGAUUAGAGAUUGACUGUACCAUUCAAGAAAGCCACGGCUAACUACGUGCCAGCAGCCGCGGUAAUACGUAGGGGGCAAGCGUUAUCCGGAAUUACUGGGUGUAAAGGGAGCGUAGACGGUUAAGUAAGUCUGGAGUGAAAGGCCGGGGCCCAACCCCGGGACUGCUCUGGAAAC
This 305-nucleotide ribosomal RNA is filed under the name uncultured bacterium. RNAcentral's name for it is "bacterial SSU rRNA". It matches the Rfam family "Bacterial small subunit ribosomal RNA", at positions 337 to 633 of the family's 1533-position model. The record is from RNAcentral.